This 2904-nucleotide ribosomal RNA is filed under the name Escherichia coli DEC4A. Its description in RNAcentral is "bacterial LSU rRNA". It matches the Rfam family "Bacterial large subunit ribosomal RNA". The record is from RNAcentral. Lineage: Bacteria; Pseudomonadati; Pseudomonadota; Gammaproteobacteria; Enterobacterales; Enterobacteriaceae.
UUAAGCGACUAAGCGUACACGGUGGAUGCCCUGGCAGUCAGAGGCGAUGAAGGACGUGCUAAUCUGCGAUAAGCGUCGGUAAGGUGAUAUGAACCGUUAUAACCGGCGAUUUCCGAAUGGGGAAACCCAGUGUGAUUCGUCACACUAUCAUUAACUGAAUCCAUAGGUUAAUGAGGCGAACCGGGGGAACUGAAACAUCUAAGUACCCCGAGGAAAAGAAAUCAACCGAGAUUCCCCCAGUAGCGGCGAGCGAACGGGGAGGAGCCCAGAGCCUGAAUCAGUGUGUGUGUUAGUGGAAGCGUCUGGAAAGGCGCGCGAUACAGGGUGACAGCCCCGUACACAAAAAUGCACAUGCUGUGAGCUCGAUGAGUAGGGCGGGACACGUGGUAUCCUGUCUGAAUAUGGGGGGACCAUCCUCCAAGGCUAAAUACUCCUGACUGACCGAUAGUGAACCAGUACCGUGAGGGAAAGGCGAAAAGAACCCCGGCGAGGGGAGUGAAAAAGAACCUGAAACCGUGUACGUACAAGCAGUGGGAGCACAGAGCAAUCUGUGUGACUGCGUACCUUUUGUAUAAUGGGUCAGCGACUUAUAUUCUGUAGCAAGGUUAACCGAAUAGGGGAGCCGAAGGGAAACCGAGUCUUAACUGGGCGUUAAGUUGCAGGGUAUAGACCCGAAACCCGGUGAUCUAGCCAUGGGCAGGUUGAAGGUUGGGUAACACUAACUGGAGGACCGAACCGACUAAUGUUGAAAAAUUAGCGGAUGACUUGUGGCUGGGGGUGAAAGGCCAAUCAAACCGGGAGAUAGCUGGUUCUCCCCGAAAGCUAUUUAGGUAGCGCCUCGUGAAUUCAUCUCCGGGGGUAGAGCACUGUUUCGGCAAGGGGGUCAUCCCGACUUACCAACCCGAUGCAAACUGCGAAUACCGGAGAAUGUUAUCACGGGAGACACACGGCGGGUGCUAACGUCCGUCGUGAAGAGGGAAACAACCCAGACCGCCAGCUAAGGUCCCAAAGUCAUGGUUAAGUGGGAAACGAUGUGGGAAGGCCCAGACAGCCAGGAUGUUGGCUUAGAAGCAGCCAUCAUUUAAAGAAAGCGUAAUAGCUCACUGGUCGAGUCGGCCUGCGCGGAAGAUGUAACGGGGCUAAACCAUGCACCGAAGCUGCGGCAGCGACACUGUGUGUUGUUGGGUAGGGGAGCGUUCUGUAAGCCUGUGAAGGUGUGCUGUGAGGCAUGCUGGAGGUAUCAGAAGUGCGAAUGCUGACAUAAGUAAACGAUAAAGCGGGUGAAUAGCCCGCUCGCCGGAAGACCAAGGGUUCCUGUCCAACGUUAAUCGGGGCAGGGUGAGUCGACCCCUAAGGCGAGGCCGAGAGGCGUAGUCGAUGGGAAACAGGUUAAUAUUCCUGUACUUGGUGUUACUGCGAAGGGGGGACGGAGAAGGCUAUGUUGGCCGGGCGACGGUUGUCCCGGUUUAAGCGUGUAGGCUGGUUUUCCAGGCAAAUCCGGAAAAUCAAGGCUGAGGCGUGAUGACGAGGCACUACGGUGCUGAAGCAACAAAUGCCCUGCUUCCAGGAAAAGCCUCUAAGCAUCAGGUAACAUCAAAUCGUACCCCAAACCGACACAGGUGGUCAGGUAGAGAAUACCAAGGCGCUUGAGAGAACUCGGGUGAAGGAACUAGGCAAAAUGGUGCCGUAACUUCGGGAGAAGGCACGCUGAUAUGUAGGUGAAGUCCCUCGCGGAUGGAGCUGAAAUCAGUCGAAGAUACCAGCUGGCUGCAACUGUUUAUUAAAAACACAGCACUGUGCAAACACGAAAGUGGACGUAUACGGUGUGACGCCUGCCCGGUGCCGGAAGGUUAAUUGAUGGGGUCAGCGCAAGCGAAGCUCUUGAUCGAAGCCCCGGUAAACGGCGGCCGUAACUAUAACGGUCCUAAGGUAGCGAAAUUCCUUGUCGGGUAAGUUCCGACCUGCACGAAUGGCGUAAUGAUGGCCAGGCUGUCUCCACCCGAGACUCAGUGAAAUUGAACUCGCUGUGAAGAUGCAGUGUACCCGCGGCAAGACGGAAAGACCCCGUGAACCUUUACUAUAGCUUGACACUGAACAUUGAGCCUUGAUGUGUAGGAUAGGUGGGAGGCUUUGAAGUGUGGACGCCAGUCUGCAUGGAGCCGACCUUGAAAUACCACCCUUUAAUGUUUGAUGUUCUAACGUGGACCCGUGAUCCGGGUUGCGGACAGUGUCUGGUGGGUAGUUUGACUGGGGCGGUCUCCUCCUAAAGAGUAACGGAGGAGCACGAAGGUUGGCUAAUCCUGGUCGGACAUCAGGAGGUUAGUGCAAUGGCAUAAGCCAGCUUGACUGCGAGCGUGACGGCGCGAGCAGGUGCGAAAGCAGGUCAUAGUGAUCCGGUGGUUCUGAAUGGAAGGGCCAUCGCUCAACGGAUAAAAGGUACUCCGGGGAUAACAGGCUGAUACCGCCCAAGAGUUCAUAUCGACGGCGGUGUUUGGCACCUCGAUGUCGGCUCAUCACAUCCUGGGGCUGAAGUAGGUCCCAAGGGUAUGGCUGUUCGCCAUUUAAAGUGGUACGCGAGCUGGGUUUAGAACGUCGUGAGACAGUUCGGUCCCUAUCUGCCGUGGGCGCUGGAGAACUGAGGGGGGCUGCUCCUAGUACGAGAGGACCGGAGUGGACGCAUCACUGGUGUUCGGGUUGUCAUGCCAAUGGCACUGCCCGGUAGCUAAAUGCGGAAGAGAUAAGUGCUGAAAGCAUCUAAGCACGAAACUUGCCCCGAGAUGAGUUCUCCCUGACCCUUUAAGGGUCCUGAAGGAACGUUGAAGACGACGACGUUGAUAGGCCGGGUGUGUAAGCGCAGCGAUGCGUUGAGCUAACCGGUACUAAUGAACCGUGAGGCUUAACCUU